RNAcentral lists this long non-coding RNA (1705 nucleotides) under Mus musculus (house mouse). Lineage: Eukaryota; Metazoa; Chordata; Mammalia; Rodentia; Muridae. The record is from RNAcentral.
UUAAUCCCAGCACUCGGGAGGCAGAGGCAGGUGGAUUUCUGAGUUCGAGGCCAGCCUGGUCAACAUGGCAAAUUCCAGGACAGCCAGGGCUACAUAGACUGUGUCUCAAAAAAAAUUUUUUCCCCACUGUUUACAGAAUUUCAACAUUUGAAUUUGGAUUGCUGAGAAGUGUGUACCAGCCAGCAUAACCUUUGCCCAACAGGCUAACAACUGGGAAGGGCGCCUACAGUUCAAAAUUUCACCACCAGAGGUCAGCAGACAUAAAAGACACUUGUCCCUGGCAAGAGGGCCUCCUCAGAUGACUAACAUUCACAGUAUGCCUCCAAAACCUCCUAAACUGUAGUAUUAUAAAAUAUAAAGGGAAGCCACAGGGUGUGCAGAAAGCAUGUCCAUAUGAACAGAGGGUCUGUGGCUUGUGUUGCCAUAGAGACAGGCAUGCAGCCUCAGUUCCCUCAGAGUAAGAAACCAGUCAUAGGUUAUCAUGUUCACACCUGUGAGCUUCAAAGCGCUGGUCAAAGGGGCCUGGUUCCUGCUCCUGUCUCUGUACUAGCUGCCUUUCUCAGAAUGAUCUAACUUAGAUCAGAGAUGAAGGUAGCAGCUCAUUGAGACAGGGCCUUUCUCCUGGGGAGCACGCAUGAGAGGAGGCAAUCUCUAUGAGGAAAGGACAGGGCUGGAGACAGCAUCGUCGUAUCCUUCCUUGGCCCUUCCGGAAGUCUGCAGGGCUGUGUUAGUAAGGUGUGGGAUGCUGCGCUUAGUUCCUGCUGUCCUCCUUCGACAGCCUCCAGAUCAGAUAAGUGAGGAUGUGGGCAAUUGAAGAUCAAAUGGCUUCUUUGGUCUGGAAUGUCUCUGGAGACCCUCUCCUCCAGAGUGGGAGCAGGGUAAGGAUGCAGCAGCAAGGCGAACGCCUCAGCCAAAGCCUCGGGUCAUUAUUUCUUUUGAAGACAGAAACAACCCAGAACCCAAGCACGGUGGCUCACUCCUGUAAUCUCAGCAUUUGGAAUUAAGAGGCAGGAAGACUGCUUCAAGUUGGAGGCCAUCUUGGGCUACACUGUCAAUCCCAGGCCAUCCUGGGCCUUGUCUCAAGGUGGCAGUGCAGGGAGCAGGGGGAACAACUGCAGUUGGAGAGAAAGAACCUGAGUUGGAAUCCCAAGCAGACAAAAAAAAAAAAAAAAAAUUGUGUGUGCCUGCACAUACAUAUAACCCAGGCUUAGAGGGUAAGUGUGCCCUGCUGUUUUUAUAGAAGAUCUUGAGUUCAGUUCGAAAACACGUGUAACUGCAGAGCUCCAGAGGAGUCAGCACUUUCUUCUCAGACACUGGCAUGCAUGUGCCUGCCACUUGCACACACAUAUACACAAAUCUCUCUCUGUGUGUGUCUGCCUUUCUCUCCCCAUGUGUGUGUGUGUGUGUGAGUGUGAAGAAAAUCUGAACUGGUGGUGGCACAAGCCUAUAAUCUCAGUUACUUGGCUGAGGUGGGAGGAUUAAAACUCCAAGGUCGGCUGGGAUACAGAAGGAGUUCAAGGCCAGCCUAGGCAACUUAAAAAACAACAAAGCCAGGCACAGUGGCAGAUGCCUUUAAUCCCUGGUCUUGACACAGGCAGUAGGGGUGUGUGUAUACAGGGCAACAGAGACAGAGGUCUGGAGAAGAAGAAAGAGAACAUGCUAGAGUAGAUGAGACUUGAGAAAGAAGAGAGAGAGAGAGAGAGAG